UCUAGUUGUUAGGUCUAUCAAGCCCAUUUCUAGUUGUUAGGUCUAUCAAGCCUAUUUUUCUUCUGAUAUAGUUCACAUGUUGUGGAAGCCAUCUGAUGCGUUUCCAGCUCUAGUCAUCAAUAAUUCACUUAUAGCUAGCUGGUUAAUGAAAGAUGACCAUCAAAAUAACAAUAAAAACAUAUUUUGUGUG
Oncorhynchus gorbuscha (pink salmon) is the source of this 190-nucleotide long non-coding RNA. RefSeq lists it as uncharacterized. The transcript has 2 exons. Lineage: Eukaryota; Metazoa; Chordata; Actinopteri; Salmoniformes; Salmonidae. The record is from RefSeq and is a predicted model, not a curated record.